CAGGCCAUCCAGCUGCUACUGAAUGACAAUCCAGAUGUUGUACAGGUCAAUCUGUGAGAUUCUCCAGGUCUUUUAAUCGCUGGUUCAGAUUCUGUCAGAGUCUGACCAUCAACACCUGUCAAGAGGAU
Long non-coding RNA from Sander lucioperca (pikeperch), 128 nucleotides. RefSeq lists it as uncharacterized. The transcript has 2 exons. The record is from RefSeq and is a predicted model, not a curated record. Lineage: Eukaryota; Metazoa; Chordata; Actinopteri; Perciformes; Percidae.